This is a non-coding RNA of Cinara cedri, 214 nucleotides long. Lineage: Eukaryota; Metazoa; Arthropoda; Insecta; Hemiptera; Aphididae. The record is from the annotation of a GenBank genome assembly.
UUAGUGCAACAAAUCUAUGUACCUACGCAUGUGAUAAUCUAAUCAUAAUGUGUCGGUCAGAUAAUCUUAGGUUUCUAAAUACAUAUGUAUUCCACUAAAUAAAUUUACCAAAAGUACUUAUAAGCAUAGUCGUGCGCACGGUUAUCUAGAGUCGGGCAUCUAGUUAAUUGGUUUCAGUGACGUGCCCAAGAAUUUUCAAUGGAAGGGAUUAUGG